RNAcentral lists this ribosomal RNA (472 nucleotides) under uncultured bacterium. Its description in RNAcentral is "SSU rRNA". It matches the Rfam family "Bacterial small subunit ribosomal RNA", at positions 26 to 518 of the family's 1533-position model. The record is from RNAcentral.
AGGACGAACGCUGGCGGCGUGCUUAACACAUGCAAGUCGAGCGGAAAGGCCCUUCGGGGUACUCGAGCGGCGAACGGGUGAGUAACACGUGAGUAAUCUGCCCCUAGCUCUGGGAUAGCUCCGGGAAACCGGGAUUAAUACCAGAUACGACCACUUUAGACAUCUGUUGUGGUGGAAAGAAUUUUGGCUAGGGAUGAGCUCGCGGCCUAUCAGCUUGUUGGUGAGGUAACGGCUCACCAAGGCGACGACGGGUAGCCGGCCUGAGAGGGCGACCGGCCACACUGGGACUGAGACACGGCCCAGACUCCUACGGGAGGCAGCAGUGGGGAAUAUUGCGCAAUGGGCGAAAGCCUGACGCAGCGACGCCGCGUGGGGGAUGAAGGCCUUCGGGUUGUAAACCCUUUCAGCAGGACGAAGCGAAAGUGACGGUACCUGCAGAAGAAGCGCCGGCUAACUACGCGCCAGCAGCCGC